UACGUAGGAGACAAGCGUUGUCCGGAUUUACUGGGCGUAAAGAGCGCGCAGGCGGUCGUUCAAGUCGAGUGUGAAAGACCCCGGCUCAACUGGGGAGGGUCAUUCGAUACUGAUCGACUCGAAGGCAGGAGAGGGAAGUGGAAUUCCCGGUGUAGUGGUGAAAUGCGUAGAUAUCGGGAGGAACACCAGUGGCGAAGGCGACUUCCUGGCCUGUUCUUGACGCUGAGGCGCGAAAGCUAGGGGAGCAAACGGG
Molecule: ribosomal RNA, 253 nt
Filed under: uncultured bacterium
Lineage: Bacteria
Description: partial 16S ribosomal RNA
Rfam family: Bacterial small subunit ribosomal RNA
Source: RNAcentral